RNAcentral lists this ribosomal RNA (399 nucleotides) under uncultured bacterium. Its description in RNAcentral is "partial 16S ribosomal RNA". It matches the Rfam family "Bacterial small subunit ribosomal RNA", at positions 360 to 776 of the family's 1533-position model. The record is from RNAcentral.
AAUAUUGGACAAUGGGCGCAAGCCUGAUCCAGCCAUGCCGCGUGAGUGAUGAAGGNCCNNGGGUUNUNAAGCUCUUUCACCGGNNNNNAUAAUGACGGUCACCGGAGAAGAAGCCCCGGCUAACUUCGUGCCAGCAGCCGCGGUAAUACGAAGGGGGCUAGCGUUGUUCGGAAUUACUGGGCGUAAAGCGCACGUAGGCGGAUCGGUCAGUUAGGGGUGAAAUCCCAGGGCUCAACCCUGGAACUGCCUUUAAUACUGCCGGUCUGGAGUUCGAGAGAGGUGAGUGGAAUUCCGAGUGUAGAGGUGAAAUUCGUAGAUAUUCGGAGGAACACCAGUGGCGAAGGCGGCUCACUGGCUCGAUACUGACGCUGAGGUGCGAAAGCGUGGGGAGCAAACAGG